Molecule: ribosomal RNA, 453 nt
Filed under: uncultured Paraprevotella sp.
Lineage: Bacteria; Pseudomonadati; Bacteroidota; Bacteroidia; Bacteroidales; Prevotellaceae
Description: partial 16S ribosomal RNA
Rfam family: Bacterial small subunit ribosomal RNA
Source: RNAcentral
ACGGAAGGCUGCAGUGAGGAAUAUUGGUCAAUGGGCGUAAGCCUGAACCAGCCAAGUAGCGUGAGGGAUGACUGCCCUACGGGUUGUAAACCUCUUUUGUUUGGGAAUAAAUGAGACUACGUGUAGUCUUUUGCAUGUACCUUUCGAAUAAGCAUCGGCUAAUUCCGUGCCAGCAGCCGCGGUAAUACGGAAGAUGCGAGCGUUAUCCGGAUUUAUUGGGUUUAAAGGGAGCGUAGGCGGCCUUUUAAGUCUGCGGUCAACUGUCAGGGCCCAGCCGUGGCAUGCCGUGGAUACUGAUGGGCUUGAAUACACACAAGGCAAGUGGAAUUCGUCGUGUAGCGGUGAAAUGCUUAGAUAUGACGAAGAACUCCGAGUGCGAAGGCAGCUUGCUGGGGUGCGAUUGACGCUGAGGCUCGAAAGUGCGGGAAUCAAACAGGAUUAGAUACCCUGGUA